CCUACGCCGGGCAGGGCUCAGGGCCAGGGGCCAGCCCGGCCCCGCCCCACCGCCCGCCGGGACCCGCAGCGGGGCAGCCGGCUCGGGCAGCCCUGGCCCCACCGCGCCGGGGAGGCGAGGGCAGCCCCGCGAGAGGAGCCUCCAAGGUGGUGUUUUUCAUUUAGAGAUUCUGCCUCAUUCGUCUCAGAGAUUGUUUCACCAUCUUCAUCAUCUUCAGUUUCCUGCAAUGAAGACAAGACAAUAAGAAAAAUUUACUGGACAAAAUGAAACCUGUUCUGAUGUCUUAUAUAAGGAGACACCGACAGUGAUAGCAGUCUGUGCCAGUUCUGCAGAACAUACAGCUCUGGCAAGGACCACCAUUCAAACGUCUUCUAUCUAGGUUUUGCCAAUACAGCACCUUGACUCAGUGCAAACAGGUGGGGCAAACAUUUUUCUCCAACACCCAUCCCAACAGUGGUCUCUGAAUCUGUUAACAUGGGGUGAUGACCAAACUUUUCUGCCACCACCAGGAAACAUAUCCAGAUUGUCUUCGCAAUGGAGCUCAGCCUUGUCAACUCAGGAAGUAAGACUCCGGAAGUCGUUCUGGAAUAGAACUAAUCCACAAUACAAACAUUUAAAAUCAAAACCCUGCAGCCUGAAAGUUUAAUCACAGCCAUUUCAGCGUAUAUAGUGCAUUCUGAUGCCAGAAUAUCUCAAAGCUUUUCAUAGGAUCUGUACAGAGCUAGUGACCAUAGUAAAGCUUCGAGGAUACCCACAAGUGAUCCACUGAGAAGAUUUUAAAUUACAUAUACAGACAGAGAAAAAAAGGGAAACACACACAAACACACACACACAGGUUCAUUGAGUCCAAAGAGCGUGGCAAGCUUCCCACCAAGGAAUUCGCAAGCUGAAAAGACAAGGAGGAGAAAGAACAGCAGCAAUUCUGUCCCUUAUGACCUUUGCCUCAUUCAGGACACAGGACAGACUGUGAAUGGAUCCUGGGAAUGGAUCAUGAUUGUGCAGUGAAUGAGGCAGGGACUGCAGGAACAGAAAAGACGGUGUCAUGAUUAAGAUAGUUGAAUGCUUCCCCGGAGAAAAGGAUUUGAUCCCAGCCUCUGUUGCAAAGUUCCUAUGUGGCCUCGGGCAAUAACAAAAGUUUUCACAGUGUGCACCCAUCUCAUUUUCUGAGUCCCAGGCUGACACACAUGGGAUCUGAACUGUAGAAAUGCUGACCUCACAGCUUCAACAGAAGUCAAUGGGAGCUUUGCUUAGAGCAUUAAGCACCUUAAUAUGCUUUGCACUUACAAAAAAAAAACCCAUAUGCAUCUGUAGCAGGGUGAUCAGCCGCUCCUGCCCUGAAGGGCUUGAAAUAGCCCUGGGAGAGGGCUGAGACUGCGAGAGGGCUGCUGCUAGGGAAAGCAGCAAGCCUCAGCUGAUUGGGGAAACAGCCACAGCUGCGGCCACGCCCCAAUCAAGGCCCAGCUGGCCUUUGUAAGAGGGCAGUGGGCCAGAAGGACACACUCUCUCUCUAGAUGUUGAGAGGGAGGGGCCUGACAGCUCGGAGCUGAGCAGGGUACCUAAAGUGGAGCAGUGCUGGGGAAAGGCCAGAGGAGCUGGAGAGCUCCGGCCUGGGAAAACCUCAGGCUGCAGGCCUUGAUGAAGGCCUAGGAAAAGGGUACUAGGGUUGCAGAGGGCAGCCCAAGGGUAGGCAGAAGCAGCAGGUCCAGACCCUCCUUGCUGAUAACGAGUGGCAAUUAUACUGCAGUCCGCCCCAGGGAGCAGGGGCUAGAUGGUGACUGGCAGUAGCCACUGAGGCGAGAUGGGAAUAGUGGGUUGGGGGUUCCUGCGGCGGGCAGAACCCCUGAGUAAAGAAGCACCGUGGUCCGGGAAGGACUCAGGGGCCCAUAAGCAAGCAGGACACUGGCCUGCAGAGGGCGCUCUGGAGGUUGGAAAUGCUAAUUCCCUGGAUGACCAGCAGGAGGCACUGCAGGGGUGAGUCCUGCCCCAUUACAGCAUCUCAAAGAGGGCACCCAAAAUUAAUUGACACGUGACAAUUUUGGCUCUAAUUUUUGUGCAUCAGUUCCCAAAGUGCAAAAGGGAGGUAAUAUCCCCAUAUCGUAGAACGGGAUUGUGAAAAUAACUUCAUUGUGUUUCUGAAACACUCCAAUUACAGUACUUGGACGACACCAUCAUAGAGAUGCUCAAGAGGAAAUUAAUAAUUCUCGGGUUUUGAUGGUGUGUAGUAAAUAAUACAUGGAGCCACACAUGGAAUGAGAAGGAUAAAAUCAGAUAUUGAAUAGCUAACCAUUCAGUGAGCACCACCCCACAUGUGUACUGAAUGAGGCAAGGGUUUGGGGGGAAAAGUAGUAUGUGAUCAUGUAAUUAAGAAGAUUAUAUCAUAAUUCCUAUGCAGAAGGGGGCUAAAUUAAAAUUGCUCAGGCACCCUUAAUUUGGGCAUUUCCGAGUUUUUGAGUGCUUGACUUUGAAACUCAUGUUCUUUUAAGGUAGUUAUUUUGGAUGCAGUAUUUAAUAUACGGUCACACUAGAAAUGAAAAGGAUACCUAGCAUCUGCCAACUAUAAUGACAUAUACAGAGACUAGUAUUGGUUAAAACCAUCACUGUGACAAUGCAAAACUGAUUUAGUAUUAUAGGGCUGAAUGAAAGUGAGACCAGCUUCAUGUCAGCAGACCCACAGGAAAUCAUCUGCCAUGGAGGUUAUUUCCAAUUAAACCUGCUUUUCUUCAGUAGCUGCAGCAUGGCACAUUGUACUAGAUGUAUUGGUAGUACAAAAGUCAGAGUCCCCAAGACUGCAUAGCCAGAUCAUGACAUACUGGUACAGCCAUCAGGCUUUUGCCACUGAAUUCAGGUUGCUCCUUUAAGCAUGCUGAGGCAGUCCCCACAUUGGUGGGAAUUUCUUUCUUGUUGCUGUAAGAAACUGAUUUUUUUAAAAUGACAAUGGAUGGCCUGAUCUCAAAUAAUCUAACCUGAAGAAUUUCAUAUUUAAUAGUGUUACCUAGAUGUCUAUCUCCUUGAAAGAAAAUACUAUAUUUUAUUUAUUUAUUAUUUAUAAUAUAUUUAUAUUUAAUAUAUUAUAAAAUAUAUAUCAGAGGUUUUUUUUUGUAUAGAAUAGCAACACCCAGUUUUGAGCAUACAUAAAACAAAUAAGAUGAAGGAAAAAAUUCUGGUGGUGAUCUUAUAUCUUAAUAAUAUUGAAUAGUAAUUAUAUUCAACUAAUGUAAAAUAACCCUCCCAUUGAUGCCAAAAAAAAUACCUACUAAAAAGUGAAGUUGUUGCAACUCGAACUGCCCACAGCCGCAGAUAGAGCCCCCAGGAGAGUUUGGACUACAAAACAAGAACAAAAGGAAAACUUUCAUUUUAGACAUACAGAAUUGAAUUAAUCCAUAGGUUUGUACCAGAGAUUAAUUUGGCCCAUAAUAUUUGCUGUAUGCAAGGAUCUUCCAUGGUGUAGGGGAGAAAGCUCACUGUUUUCUUUACUUCAGUCUUUACACAGGGUGCUGUUUUUAGCUAGCUAGUCUCAGCUGAUUUACAGCAAGUCUCUGUCUAUUUGAACUAGGGAUACCAGUCUCAUUUACCAAGCCAACAAGAAACAUCAGUACAAUGAACAUAAGGAACAUAUAUACAAUAGAACACAAAAGGUCCAAUCCUACAAAA
This is a long non-coding RNA of Dermochelys coriacea (leatherback sea turtle), 3651 nucleotides long. RefSeq lists it as uncharacterized. The transcript is spliced from 6 exons. Lineage: Eukaryota; Metazoa; Chordata; Testudines; Dermochelyidae. The record is from RefSeq and is a predicted model, not a curated record.